UACGUAGGGUGCGAGCGUUAAUCGGAAUUACUGGGCGUAAAGCGUGCGCAGGCGGUGAUGUAAGACAGGUGUGAAAUCCCCGGGCUCAACCUGGGAACUGCAUUUGUGACUGCAUCGCUGGAGUGCGGCAGAGGGGGAUGGAAUUCCGCGUGUAGCAGUGAAAUGCGUAGAUAUGCGGAGGAACACCGAUGGCGAAGGCAAUCCCCUGGGCCUGCACUGACGCUCAUGCACGAAAGCGUGGGGAGCAAACAGG
RNAcentral lists this ribosomal RNA (253 nucleotides) under uncultured bacterium. Its description in RNAcentral is "partial 16S ribosomal RNA". It matches the Rfam family "Bacterial small subunit ribosomal RNA", at positions 524 to 776 of the family's 1533-position model. The record is from RNAcentral.